RNAcentral lists this transfer RNA (76 nucleotides) under Corynebacterium glutamicum. RNAcentral describes it as "tRNA-Arg". It matches the Rfam family "tRNA". Rfam says of the family: Transfer RNA (tRNA) molecules are approximately 80 nucleotides in length. Their secondary structure includes four short double-helical elements and three loops (D, anti-codon, and T loops). Further hydrogen bonds mediate the characteristic L-shaped molecular structure. tRNAs have two regions of fundamental functional importance: the anti-codon, which is responsible for specific mRNA codon recognition, and the 3' end, to which the tRNAs corresponding amino acid is attached (by aminoacyl-tRNA synthetases). tRNAs cope with the degeneracy of the genetic code in two manners: having more than one tRNA (with a specific anti-codon) for a particular amino acid; and 'wobble' base-pairing, i.e. permitting non-standard base-pairing at the 3rd anti-codon position. The record is from RNAcentral. Lineage: Bacteria; Bacillati; Actinomycetota; Actinomycetes; Mycobacteriales; Corynebacteriaceae.
GCGCCCGUAGCUCAACGGAUAGAGCAUCUGACUACGGAUCAGAAAGUUGGGGGUUCGAAUCCCUCCGGGCGCACAA